GACGAACCGUGCAAACGUUGUUCGGAAUCACUGGGCUUAAAGGGCGCGUAGGCGGUGUGUUAAGUCGGCGGUGAAAUACUUCGGCUCAACCGUAGAAUUGCCGCUGAAACUGGCACGCUAGAGAGAGGUAGAGGUGCGUGGAACUUCCGGUGGAGUGGUGAAAUACGUUGAUAUCGGAAGGAACGCCGGUGGCGAAAGCGACGCACUGGACCUUUACUGACGCUGAGGCGCGAAAGCUAGGGGAGCGAACGGG
RNAcentral lists this ribosomal RNA (253 nucleotides) under uncultured bacterium. RNAcentral describes it as "partial 16S ribosomal RNA". It matches the Rfam family "Bacterial small subunit ribosomal RNA", at positions 524 to 776 of the family's 1533-position model. The record is from RNAcentral.